Myodes glareolus (Bank vole) is the source of this 888-nucleotide non-coding RNA. The record is from RefSeq and is a predicted model, not a curated record. NCBI's taxonomy places the organism in Eukaryota, Metazoa, Chordata, Mammalia, Rodentia, Cricetidae.
GCUUUGCAGCACACACUGGUUGUGAACUUAGCCUCUCGAAUACGUGGGUUACCUGCAUGCAACUUCACAUCUAGAUCUCAUGCUGGGCAUUAUUCAUGAUUCACACAUCUGUCUUCUUUGAGGGAGAGGACCUUUGAUCCAGAGAGACACCUGAGCUACUCUUUAGUAUCUUAAAUGCAGGGAAAGCACGUACGUGCAUGAAGAAGAAAGCGGAGACCAGAAGAAUGGAUUAGAAUUCAUGAGCCAUUUGUUCAGCUUUGAAUUGAUGGAGCCCCGGCUGACUGGAGAGGCCAGAGUGAAAACUAGCUGAGGCCCCUGCAGAAACGGACCGCUCGCUCUUUCUUCCUCUGACAAGGUCUGAGCUGCUGGGCGGCUGGGAAAUGAACAAGUGACCUCCUCACAACACAGUAGAAGGUGUGGCCCCAUUAAAGGUGUCCCUUUCCUCCUCAAGAUCUGGAUUGAAGGAAAGAACACGGCUCAGACGGAUGUGCUGGAGGAAAUGCGCCAGGAAAUCCCAAGCAGGGCCCAAUCAGUCACCAUUAAUGCUCCGAAGGAUCAAAGCUACUUGAAGAAAUACAGCCACUUAUGGAUGGACGGGAAAAUUGAAUUCAUGAAGCCGUGCCUUCUCCAUGGGCGAUUUCCCGGAGCUGAAGUCCUAGAAUUGCACACUGACCCAGAUUUAAUGAGCACAGCUGCCUGGAAGCAUUGCAUGAUGGGACUUCUGGAGGAGGUGUCUGGAACUCCAGUCAAGAUGCUGAGCUGGCAAGGUGCAUGGCAAAGGACCAACCGGCUCCCCCCAAGCCCAUGCCUCAUCCCAGUAAAGUUUUCUGAACUCCUUGGGGAUUUUUCUUAACUGCUCACCUAUAAUAAAAUGUUUUCUGCAACUCA